GGUAAGCCCAAGCUUCACAUUCUUCCUUACCUGGAAUCUUCAGAUGGUCAGACUGCAUCAAUACCCUGUAAUCCCUGGUCUAUAAAUAAAGGCUUAUAGGAUUUUCCAUAUCUUAAUUCUUAAAUUUUUUCCAUUCUUCCUUAUGCAAGUGCCUUUGAUCCCUAUUAUCCUGAAUCCAGACAGUGUUGUUGCCUAUAAUUCUGAUAAUUUGUCCAUGCAUGAACACUAUGUUUUGAAAACAAUUUCAGAUGAGUCCAAAACAAUUUCAGAUGAGUCCAAGACAGUUGGGAUAUAUAUAUAUAUAUAUAUAUAUAUAUAUAUAUAUUUUCCCUUGAGUCCGCUGGUUGCUCUGCAUUAUUACUCGAUUGUCAAGUUCCAUUGGGGUCUAUGGCUUUACUGUUUGUGCUUAAAUAGUUUCCCUAUCAUGUCUGAUAUUCUUAUCAGACAAGUUUUCACAUCCUGAACUUUCUAUCCUGAUUCCCACAAGCAACCUCCCAUUACUGAACAUUUCCCAGGGUAAGCCCUUCAUUUUCAAGUCAUUUUCGAUGUAAUUGACUAUUGACAGGUAUAUACAUGGUUUAUAUACCUUGGGCUUGAGAUUGCAGCU
Molecule: long non-coding RNA, 607 nt
Filed under: Populus trichocarpa (black cottonwood)
Lineage: Eukaryota; Viridiplantae; Streptophyta; Magnoliopsida; Malpighiales; Salicaceae
Description: long non-coding RNA (PTRI_LNC002572)
Source: RNAcentral